RNAcentral lists this ribosomal RNA (253 nucleotides) under uncultured bacterium. RNAcentral describes it as "partial 16S ribosomal RNA". It matches the Rfam family "Bacterial small subunit ribosomal RNA", at positions 524 to 776 of the family's 1533-position model. The record is from RNAcentral.
UACGUAGGGGGCAAGCGUUGUCCGGAAUCAUUGGGCGUAAAGCGCGUGUAGGCGGCCCGGUAAGUCCGCUGUGAAAGUCCAGGGCUCAACCCUGGGAUGCCGGUGGAUACUGUCGGGCUCGAGUCCGGAAGAGGAGUGUGGAAUUCCUGGUGUAGCGGUGAAAUGCGCAGAUAUCAGGAGGAACACCGAUGGCGAAGGCAGCCCCCUGGGCUGACACUGACGCUCAGGCACGAAAGCGUGGGGAGCAAACAGG